Molecule: microRNA precursor, 72 nt
Filed under: Paramuricea clavata
Lineage: Eukaryota; Metazoa; Cnidaria; Anthozoa; Malacalcyonacea; Plexauridae
Source: RNAcentral
GUUCAACCCCGAGGUUGAAAUUUCAACCCUGCUAGCUGAAACAGGGUUGAAAUUUUAACCCCGGGGUUGAAA